UGCAAUUGAGAUGUGGUGCUGAAGCUGGUAAAUCGGAACCAAAUCAUAUUACAAAUGGAUUUGGUCCCCUUCAACCAGCUGUAGCAUGGCAUUCAAACCAA
Non-coding RNA from Saccoglossus kowalevskii, 101 nucleotides. RefSeq annotates it as microRNA mir-133. NCBI's taxonomy places the organism in Eukaryota, Metazoa, Hemichordata, Enteropneusta, Harrimaniidae. The record is from RefSeq and is marked provisional.